RNAcentral lists this microRNA precursor (105 nucleotides) under Haemonchus contortus (barber pole worm). RNAcentral's name for it is "microRNA hco-mir-2 precursor". Its record names the gene hco-mir-2. The stretch from base 19 to 84 matches the Rfam family "mir-2 microRNA precursor family". From Rfam's summary of the family: The miRNAs are transcribed as ~70nt precursors (modelled here) and subsequently processed by the Dicer enzyme to give a ~22nt product. In this case the mature sequence comes from the 3' arm of the precursor. The record is from miRBase by way of RNAcentral. Lineage: Eukaryota; Metazoa; Nematoda; Chromadorea; Rhabditida; Trichostrongylidae.
CUGUCCUCAACACCGGCACGGCACGUCAAAGUGGUGGGUGAUUUGUCGACUUGCUCAUAUCACAGCCAGCUUUGAUGUGCUGUAAUGGGCAAAGGGGCGUCUCUC